This 4391-nucleotide long non-coding RNA is filed under the name Mus musculus (house mouse). RNAcentral's name for it is "long non-coding RNA chr10:25436621-25441012". Lineage: Eukaryota; Metazoa; Chordata; Mammalia; Rodentia; Muridae. The record is from RNAcentral.
UUUUUUAAAUACAGAGUCGCCCCCCCCCCCCCCACCUUAGCUUCCUGUCUAUUGAGGUCAUAGAUGAGUAUCUACCUGGCCUUUGGGAACAUUUUUUUCACUAGGACUGCAAGUGACUGCCUUUUUAAUCUCAGCUCCAUGAUCACCUUUAGCCAAGUCAACUUCUGAGUGCCUUUUGAAUUUGGCAAUCAUUUCAGCCACAGGAGUGCAUGUUAUGUCACAGAAAAUGGAACCUGAUUGGUCUGGCAUGAUGGGGUUGGUCCUCAUUUCUGUAAUUUCCCUCAGUGCUCUGUAUCCUGAGCUGACUCCUCCUUAGGCUUUCUUCCCAGUGGAUUGGAGAUGAUUACAACAUUCAUUCCUCAGUGUUCUGAGCCAGGAAAGCUGGCUACCCGUGUAGAGGGCCGAAUCUUGUCCUGCAAACAUGGUACUGGAUGAAUGCCUGUCUUCUUGACAAAAAAAGGGAAACCUCAGGACCGCUCUAGACCAACAGAGUCUACACUGGGACCUGUCUGAGUUGUGCAUACCCGAGUAAGGUGAGAGAGACUGAACAAAAUGUGGUUUUUGUUAAAAAGGAGACAAAGCAGAGGAACUCGGUGCUCUGGGUGAAACCCAAUCUAGCCUAUGCUGGAACUAGCAAAGGGCAGUUUGUAGUUCAUAUCUUUUCAGUGUGUGGUCUUAAUUUCAAGCAGAUGUUAGUUUAUAUUUUUAUAGUAACAGUAUGAAUGUAAAAUUGAUGCCAUUUCAUAGAUGCCACGCACUGACCAAUCAUUUCUUUCAGUAUAUUUGCACUUAGUGGAUAUCGGGCAUUGCAUUUCUAGACCAUCUCCUGCUAAGAGAAACAAAGCUACAAAGACUCUCCCUCCUCCCUCCUGGUUAGCAUACUCUCUAACAGUGAGCUGUGUCCAUCAAUCUUUGCAGCCAUGUUGUUUGCCUGUUUUUAUUACUCUUCCCUCGUCUUCAUGUUUUUUAUUUUCCCUUUCCCCUUUGCUCUCUGUCUUUCUUCCUCUUUGCUGUUUUGUAUUUGUGAGAAGCAUCACUCUCUGCUUUCUCAGUAGAAUUAGGUAGCUUCUGACUCAUCUCGGCUUGCUUUUCUCACAUACGCUGUUUUAAUGGAAGACGGUGGUAUUAGCUGGACCUCCCUUUGGCUGUGGGCAGUGGGAGCGAUGAAAGUGAGCAGUUGUGGGUGUUAGUCAGGUUCCUUACUCAUCUCUUAUGCUGUCAUAGCAUGGCAGAUGAAUACUAAUUCUGUUAGCUCUAGGGACAGCUAAAUUAGAACUGUCCACACAUUGUCAAUAUAUUUUUAUAUUCAUGGCUAUUUGUAGAACAGUUUUGUUUCCUGAAACAAAAAUCUCUUAGCUUGUUACCUCUAGCUUUGAAGUUUAAAAAUGCAUAUGUUCCCCCUUUGUUAAUCUUGGCUCUUUGAAUACUUCUUUAUGUUUUGGUAGGAGAAAUGGGUUGCUUCUGAUCUUAGCACAGAAAGAAAGCCACGCCCCCCAGAGCCCUACUUACCCAGAACCUUAUGGUUUGGAGGAAGCACCUGGAGCUGCCAUUAGCGCAGACACUUGACAUUUUUUCCAAAGUUGUGUGGCUGUCUGUUUUGUGUAGUACUAAUGAUUUAAUAGCCUUUGUUUUAAACAGCAGAUGUAUAGUAGAUGGUUUAAGCUAGAAUAGCAAUAACACCUCGGUGUAAAUGUGUUUAACCACGAGGACAUAAAGAGUGGUUUUUUAAAAUAUACUUUUCUACUGAACAUUAUUGGUCUCUGUUGAUAGUUUUCUGCUUGAUUGCGUGUUCAAUGCCGCAUGCUUUUUCUCCUGGAGCUGUCACAAUAACAAACACUUUCAUCGGCCCCAGUUGGAGAAUGCCAACAUGGUGAUUGUGUCAAACCACAUGCUUAUCUAAUGGGCUGGUUGUUCACGUCCUUGGUCUUUUGGUUGUUGAUAAGUAGAAAAAUCUUUACUUCGUAUAUUAUAUAACUAUACUACUAAUGAUGGAGUUGGGAAGUUCUAAUUAAAGAUUAAUGAGCACUAUAUCGUUUGAGAAAAAAAAUAGUCUGGUUUUGUCUUUGCUCCUUAAACUUUGUUGCCUUGGGCACAUUUUGCUUGCUCAAUGUUUUAACCCUUGCUGAUAAAAUCAGGAUAUAGGACCAGAUUUUGUUUUUUUUUUUUUUUUUUUUUUUUUUGAGACAGAGUUUCUCUGGGUAGCCCUGGUUGUCCUGGUUGUCACUCUGUAGCUAGCCUCAAAUUCAGAUAUCAACAAAGUUGUGAGCAACCACCUCCCAGUUUAGACUAGAUACUUAGAAUUCACAAUGCCCAGACAAUAGUAUUUACUGAAUAGUGUUCCCCACUUUCUGAAGACAAGUCUAGAUGCUCCUGCUAUACAUUAAAGAAAGAGCCCUGCCUUCAAGGAUUUUAGUGGGAACUACAACCCUGACUUAUAUUUUUGGAAGCACCCAGCGUGGCACUGGGUUUCCACUCUCCUGGGUGGGGCAGUUAGAGUCCCAUGUACAUCUGAAAUGCUGAGUGUUACAAGCAUGGUAAUUAUGGUGAGCUCGUGUGCUAUAAUCAUGUUCUCUUGAUGGGAGUGAUUUGUUUAAGAAAUCAUUUUACAAACAAAGUGGUGUUGGGUUUGAGCUCUUGGAGCUGUUUUAAGAACAUGGCUAUUUACAUAGAGUUUCACCUACCUUCACUGUUGACUCCUGGCGGGCUCAGUAAGCUUUGUCCAUUGUGUUCUGUCUCAUCCAUCAGUUUGAAUGAGUAAUGUGGGUCAGCUCUGGGGUGUGUACAGAGGUCACCGAUGCAGUGUGUGAGGCUCUGCCUGCUCUCCCUGUGCUCUGGAUUUCCAUAGUAUCUGUUUGUAGUGUCUUCAACUUGGACUCUUUAGCUUUUGAUCACACGGCCAAGCAAUGACUUUCAAAUAAUAUGUUCUAUAAUAUGUUUUUGUGGGGUAGAACUACUUCUGAGAACACAUUUUAUACCAUGUUCUAUAAUCAUUUCCACAAACUGACAUGGAUCUUUUCUCAGGAGUAAAGCAGGAGCUUUGUGAUCCACUCAUGGAUGUUUGAAAGAACAGAAAUUGCACACUGUUGGACACAGUGAGCUGUUAAUGGUUGUUUUAGUUAGGGUUUCAUUGCUGUGAAGAGACACCAUGACCAUGGCAAUUCUUAUAAAGGAAAACAUUUGAGGCUGGCUUACAGUUUCUGAGGCUUAUUUUAUUUUUGUCACGGCAAGAAGCAUGGAGACACACAGGCAAGACAUGGUGCUGGAGAAGGAACUAAGAGUUCUUCAUAUAGAUCCGCAGGGAGCAAGGAGAGACUUUGUGUUACUCUGGACCUAGCUUCAGGAAGAGACCCCAAAGCCUGCCCCCACAGCGACAAACUACCACCAACAAAGUCACACCUCCUAGUAGUGCCACCCUCUAUGGCCAAGCACCCCCAGCGUUCACACUCUGUGGUGGCUGUUCCCAUUCAGGCCAGCACAGUGGCUUCUCCUGUGAUUACAGUGUGCACAGCUAUUGGUUCCUUAAUACUACAGUGGUGGUAACUUCAGUACACCUGUCACAGGAAAUUGAAAGUCAAGUUCUGUGUCUUGGCUAGACCAGUCUUCCUGGAUAUCCUGUUUCCAUGGAUAACUUCCCCAGCUUCCCAUAACUUCCCUAGAUUCUUUUUCUCUCUUUCCAUGGUCUGGAUAGCUUUUGUCUUUCAUUGUGAGAUCCAUUUCUUACCCUCUUCUCGAUUGCUUUGGCCUUAAUAACAAACCAUGCCUGGAUUUUUGCAACCAUCUGCCCGCUGUUCUUCUGCUUCAGUCCCAUUUUAGACCCUGCAGUCAGGCUGGGCUGUUGAAACAAGAGUCUUACCACAUUGGUACUUAAAGCCCCAGAGCUCUCUAAGCACCUAAUUUCAGCAUGUACCCAUGUGAGAGCAUAUAUUACAGCUUUCUUCUUAGGAUUAAACAACUUUCUAGUAUAUUGAUGUAGUAUGUUUUAAAAGGGUCACGUGUGUGGUUUGUGACUCUGCUUUAAAUAAUUGUACUUUAGGUUUUUUUUUGUUUUUUUUUAAACCGUUGAUAUUUGUACCCUUUUAAGAAGCUAGCUGUGACAUUACCCAGUGGCUAGGGUACCAGCACUCAGAGCAUUAUGGGAGAACUACCGUGAGGGAGGGAGUCAGGGAGCUUGAGCUGGCUCUACCUGCCUGCUGUCUGCUAUGCUGGAGGAGUCCCUCUCUGCUUGUGUACAAUUUAGGCUGCCAGUUAUUUUUAGAUUGAAUCAAUUUUGUGUCAUUAGUUGUGAUAGAAUAAGUGAUUAGGUAUAUUGUUCCCAUUCUAUGUGACCUUUACUCUUCUUACACACACACACACACACACACACACACUGAGAGAGAGAGAGAGAGAAAGAG